GCCGGGCGUGGUGGCACACACCUGUAAUCCCAGCUACUCAGGAGGCUGAGGCAGGAGAAUCGCUUGAACCCAGGAGGCAGAAGUUGUAGUGAGCCAAGAUCGCACCACUGCACUCCAGCCUGGGUGACAAAGCGAGACUCUGUCUCUA
Molecule: non-coding RNA, 148 nt
Filed under: Homo sapiens (human)
Lineage: Eukaryota; Metazoa; Chordata; Mammalia; Primates; Hominidae
Source: Rfam by way of RNAcentral